This is a long non-coding RNA of Athene cunicularia (burrowing owl), 2368 nucleotides long. RefSeq lists it as uncharacterized. The transcript has 3 exons. NCBI's taxonomy places the organism in Eukaryota, Metazoa, Chordata, Aves, Strigiformes, Strigidae. The record is from RefSeq and is a predicted model, not a curated record.
GGCGGCGGUCCCGGCCGGCUGUGGGGCCGUGAGGGCACCAAGGGGCAGCAGCCAUUCCCUGCGCCUCUUGGUGAAAGUUGAGGGGACCCCAUGGGCCGCAAGUUGCCGUGAAGGGCCGUGAACCAGUGGGAACUCAUGUUUGUCACCCAUCAGGAUUGAAGUGAUGUGGAGAGCCCUGCGUGCCCCAGCAGUAUGGGGGAUGUAGUCAGGAGGCAAGGAGGAGCAAAGGAGGAGAGUAUCGCCUCAUCUUCUGCUUGCAACAAUCCCAGGCCACCUGGCAUGGGAGGGGUAUGGGCAUAGCAGAGAACAUGUGAAUCACACUGGACGUGCAGCUCAGUGCAGAGAUCUCUGGGGUAAUCACCCCACCUUUCCAUCCUGAGCUGCAGAACAGCAAUGUAAUGUGUAAGUCAGUGUGCACUGAGAGAUCAUCCCAGCACGGAAGGUAAGUACUGGUGUCUUAUCACAGUCUAACAGGCCAUACAGGCUUAUCCAAAGAAAGUACUCUCUCAGCAGAUGAGCUAGAUAAAAUGGUUGAUCAGAGUCUGUUGACAUAUGGCCCAGCAUCUAUAAUUAAGUCACUAGGGAAGGUGGUGUGGGGUGCUGUAACAAAGGUAGGAUCCAGUUUAGACAGAGCUUUCAGCAAAUCUUAAAAUGCUUUCUGAAUAAAGCCCAGUGAGGUAAUAGCCACUUCUGACUUACUGCAUGCUAGAAAUUUGUCAAAUAGUGGUGAGGAAGAGGGGGUAGAGGGUCCACUGAUUAUUAAACACAUAAAUUGGAUAUAUUUUGGUGGUUUUGCACCUGUGACUCUCAACAUCCUCUUUUCAGUCAAAAGUGAAGAAGAGGUGUGUGUUUGUGUCAGAAGUGCUAUAAUGAACAGCACAUUGAGACUACUACCAGUUUAUAAUAAUGACUGGUAUUCCCUGUUCUGCAAGACUGGAAAGGAAAAGGCAUGUCCAAUGAAUAGAAAUGUAUCCUUGGAUUUUGGUUCUUGAGGUGACCUCGACUCCAUGAAUCUGCAGAACAAUUAUAGUACAGAACAGUUGAUUGCUUCUCUGUUUGUGUGGCAAUAGAUUAUGGAAUAAGACAAAAGGAACCUUCAGUACCUAACCCUGAUAGGCUUUUUUUUGUGAAGAAAAACACCACCAAAAUACGGUGUAAUGUAAGAAAAUGGCCUUAGUUUUAUUUCUAUUGUUCUAAAUUAAAAAAAAAAAAACAACCCACCAAGUGUUUUACAUUUAAAAAAUCCACAAUCAGAACUGUGUUUGCAACUGAAGUCAUCCAUCAACGCUGCAUUUCUUUUGAGGACUCUGGGUGCGGUUUUACACUUACAUUCAUUUAAUGCUUGGUUGGGGAUGGCAUUAUUUGCAAUUUACACAAUUCUGAGGCAUGAGCGUUGUGUGAAACUAGUAAAACAUAGGGGAAGAUUUUGUGAGGUUAAAAAGGCAGAGGAGACCUAGAGAGAGGAUUUGUUCUUUGAUCCAGGAGGUAGGAGACCAGACUAGCACAGAUGCUGAGCCCUUGGCUUCUGCUGGAGAUCUGUAUAUGCAGCAUCUCGGUCUGUCAGACUUGGAAUAACUGGGAAACCUGGAUGGCAGCCAAACACAACACAUUUUUAUUUGAAGCAGUCUAUUUUUCUUAUUUUUUAAUGAUUUCCUCUAUAUGUAUAUUAUUUUUUAAAAACCCUAAGCGGUUCUGUAAAGUGCAUAUGCUUCUUGUGGUCGGGGUGAGGGUACUGGUUGUGGUGCUGAAAGAAUUGUGGUAGGGAAAGAGUUUCUGCUGAUGUCUGCUGACACUGACAACUUGCAUCAGAGAAAGGAACUCCGCAACUCGGAUCCGUGUUCACGUGGGUAAGUGUACUCUCGGGACAGGAGAAUAAACAUGGGUCCUGUUGAGGCACACGCGUCAUAGAAAGAGGAAGAAACUGUUAUGUAAAGCUGAAGGUCAGAUCAAGACGGUCAUUCAUGUUACUAAUAUAUUUAAUUCUGCAAACAAUGGGAUUCUCAGCUGCACCUUAGCUUUGGAACAAACCCUGCUCAUGCCUGUAAAGAGACCAGUGGAAGUCACUAUUUUCAUGAAUUUUAGGUGAGUUUUAGAUGGGUCAAAUCUCAACCUUCUCGCUUCAGUCUUCAGCAGGAAAUCAGCCACUCUCCAAUAAACCUUUAGACAGUUGGGGUUUUUUUUGCACACAAGAGCAGAAGACUCCUUGUGCUUUAUACAACCACCCUACUUCCUUUCAAAUUAAACUGUAAAAUGAGCCCACGGCUUCGCAGGUGCUGGAGGCGAGGCGCGGGGCGAGCGGCAGCUCCUCCCCCCGCAGUGGGAGGCCUCUGGGCUGGGGCGCGGGGGGGCCGAGCACCAGAGCCACGGC